AUGUACCACUCGUACACUCCGGUUCCUGCGCGCCGUCCGCGCCC
This 44-nucleotide small RNA is filed under the name Xanthomonas euvesicatoria. RNAcentral's name for it is "sX9". It matches the Rfam family "Xanthomonas sRNA sX9", at positions 1 to 44 of the family's 76-position model. Lineage: Bacteria; Pseudomonadati; Pseudomonadota; Gammaproteobacteria; Lysobacterales; Lysobacteraceae. The record is from RNAcentral.